UUAUCUAUCCAAUGAGAGCACUUGG
RNAcentral lists this non-coding RNA (25 nucleotides) under Mus musculus (house mouse). Lineage: Eukaryota; Metazoa; Chordata; Mammalia; Rodentia; Muridae. The record is from RNAcentral.